Piliocolobus tephrosceles (Ugandan red Colobus) is the source of this 2418-nucleotide long non-coding RNA. NCBI's taxonomy places the organism in Eukaryota, Metazoa, Chordata, Mammalia, Primates, Cercopithecidae. The record is from Ensembl.
CAACUUUUUUCAAAAUCACUUCCUAUUUCAAUACUUUUUAAAAAAUGUUUUAGUAAUAGAAGACAUAUUAUUAAAAAAAUUAGCUAAUACGUUAAAUGAAGAUAUUAUUUUUAAAGAAAAAAAAAUAACAAGUUUUUUAACUAAUUGGAAGCAGUGUUACAGUUAUAUAAAAAAAAAAAUUGAAUGUAAAAGGAUUUGAUAAAAAAAGUACCAUAUAUGAAAACUCAGUUUUAUUAUUUAAUUCAACCAAGUUUGCUUACGAUGAUAAAAACUGUUGUGAUUACUUUUAUAAUUUAGAUGUAUGGGAUAUUCUUUUUAAUUAUGUUACUUUCGAUUUAUUGAGUUAUUUGUUAUGUAAUACAUUACUAUUUGUAUCUGAUUUUUUUUUUUUGUAUCCAGAAAACAUAAAAAAUAGAAAUGUCCCAUCUGUUACUGCUAAUGGUAACAACCAUCGCGAUGAUACCAUUACGAAUCAUACUGCUAUCAAUCAUCUCGUAGAUAACUCCUUUUUUGUAUUAAUAGGACGUAUACAAAUAAAAUGUAAAAAUAAAAGCGAAGUAGAGAAAAAUGUUUGGUUUAAUAAAAAAAGACUAUUUUAUAAUACCAGACUAAUCAAAACCAUUUAUCAAAAAAAUGUUGGAAGUAUAGAAAAUGGACCUGCUAAAAAAAAAAGGGGUUGUGCUAGUAUAUGCACAGUAAAUAGAGAGUCAAAUAGUGAGUGCGAUAGAGACAAUAGUGAAAAAUCAAUGGAAGGUAAUGUAAAAAAGGUACACACUACUGGUUCUGACACAGAUACAUUAACACAUACAACAGCACACAAUAGAAUAAACUCAAUUACUACAUCUAGAACAAAAGUUAAAAAAAUAUUGCUAAAAAGGUAUAGACACUUAUUAAAAAAAAAUAAAAAAAAAGAAAUUCCAAAUCAUCACGAUCACGUUUCUUACAUAAAACGUUUAUAUCUUAUUCAAUGUAGUGGAAGAAUAUUAAAAAAUGAAGUUUUGAAAGAAAUGGAAGAAAUACAAAAGGAAAAAUAUUUAAUAAAAAAUGGUGGUGAUGGUGGUGGUGGUGAUGGUAAUGGUGGUAGUAAUAGUAGUGGUAAUGGUAGUGGUAAUAGUAGUGGUAAUAGUAGUGGUAAUGGUAGUGGUAAUGGUAGUGGUAAUGGUGAUGAAUUAGAACGUACUGAAAGAACAGGCACGGGUACAUAUCGUAAAGAGGUGGCCAAAAAANUAGAAUCAUCAAAUGUGAAAACGAAGGCAGUAGAUGCUACUAAACCAGACGGAACAAAUAUAGAAAGACUUAAAGAAAUAGAAUUCUUUGCGAGUAAUGAAAGAUCAAACAAACAAAAUACUAACUAUGAAUUAAACAACAAAAACAAUCGUUGUUCUUAUCAAAAUAUAACUACAACAAUAAAUAAAAAAUUAAAAAGCAAAGAUUAUUAUAAAAAAAAAUGGAGUAAAAUUAUAAUCAAUCGAAAUAAUAUUUUACAACACAAUACAACUAAUAAAGAUAAAGACUUUUUAUUUAAAAAACAUAUAAUUUUUAAUGUAUUAGAAAAUGUACCAUUAUUUGUUUAUGAGUUGUUAAACUAUAUUUUAAAAUGUGAUAUUAAUUCUUUUUUACAUACUAAUUUUAUAGGUCAAUAUAGAAAAAAAAUAAACAAACAAAUAAAAUGUAAUACUAUAAAAAAUGACAUUUUUUCUAAUUUCUUAUCAAAAGUCGAGAGUAAUAAUAGUGAUAACAUAAAUCAUGAUAAAACAAUUACAACUAGCGCACCACAACGAAAAAGUCACAACCACGGUAGUAACAAACGAGAAAACAUUUAUCUACGUUUGAGAAAAACAAAGAUUAUUAAAUAUAUGUACCCACAUUUUAAAGAUUUUAUUCAGAAUGUGAAAGAUACAAAUUUCAAAAAAAUUUAUAAAAAAAAUUUCCCUCCAAAUAAACUAAAAAAUAAACUAAAAAAAAUGCUUACAACUAUUAAAUGUAUGAUUAUUAAAAAAUAUAAAAUAGUAAAUGUAAGAAAGAAUCGUAAAUUUAUUAAACAAGAAAUAUAUGAAUGUUUUUUUAAAAAUUUUUAUUUUAUUCAAUUUUCAUUAAAAACUUAUAAAAUUAUUAAUUUUUUUGUUUAUGUAAUUAAAAAAUGUGUACCUAUUAAACUGUUAGGAAAUAAACAUAAUUUUAACGUAUUCUUAAAGAAUGUCAAAAAAUUUAUAAUAUUUAAUUACAAAGAAACAUUUUCUAUGGAUCAGAUAAUGAAACAUAUACGGGUUAAGUCCAUUUUUAAACCAAGUUGUCAUAAUACGAACAUACGUACAAAUAUCAAUACGUCUCUUACCACGGACGUAUCAACUUCAUUGGCUACAGGACAAGCUACAGAAAAUGGUAGAGAAAAUGGUACAAAACAUGGUACAGAACAUG